GCGAGCUUAGCUCAGUUGGGAGAGCGUCAGACUGAAGAUCUGAAGGUCUUCGGUUCGAACCCGGAAGUUCGCA
Molecule: transfer RNA, 73 nt
Filed under: Nematocida displodere
Lineage: Eukaryota; Fungi; Microsporidia
Rfam family: tRNA
About the family: Transfer RNA (tRNA) molecules are approximately 80 nucleotides in length.
Source: Rfam by way of RNAcentral